RNAcentral lists this unclassified non-coding RNA (253 nucleotides) under Glomus sp. RNAcentral's name for it is "partial contains 5.8S ribosomal RNA and internal transcribed spacer 2". The record is from RNAcentral. Lineage: Eukaryota; Fungi; Glomeromycota; Glomeromycetes; Glomerales; Glomeraceae.
GUGAAUCAUCAAAUUUUUGAACGCAAAUUGCACUCUCCUCGGAUAGUAUGCCUGUUUGAGGUUCAGCCUAUAAAAAUCGACAUAGUUUCUGUUGCGGUUUGGCGUUCGUCGUAAAGUUUGUCAUCUUAAUUCCUUUUGAUUUAAGCGACGUAAAAUUUUCUUUUUGUUCGAGGAACAUUUCUAAGAUCUAUUUCUUUACACGUUUAAGGUAUCGAUUUUUACUAUACUUAACCAUCAUAUCGGAUUGCGUCCA